GAAGAGUGUCCGUUAUUCAGUGUGCUAAAUACAGCACUCUGAAAGACUGCAGAGCUGCUCAGGAUCCUCUCUGUGGCUGGUGUGUGAACACACACACUAGAUGUUCUACUCAUGAUACUCCAUAGGUGUCCUUCCCAAAAAACUCUCUUGAGACACAGCUGUUUUCUUUUCAGAUGGCAAAGAAUUCUUCUGUGAUGAUCACUCUACAUCUUUUCUUGAGUCUGGAGAGCACAGGAAAUCCUGCCUUCUCAUGUGCCUUCACUAAAGAAAGUGUAAACCUGUGUGCUGGCUUUGAUCUGUCUGCAGUCUUCCCAAACUGCUCCUGUAGUUUUUCUGACCAGAUGCUCUAUACUG
Long non-coding RNA from Carassius carassius (crucian carp), 354 nucleotides. RefSeq lists it as uncharacterized. The record is from RefSeq and is a predicted model, not a curated record. NCBI's taxonomy places the organism in Eukaryota, Metazoa, Chordata, Actinopteri, Cypriniformes, Cyprinidae. The transcript has 3 exons.